GACGAACGCUGGCGGCGUGCCUAAUACAUGCAAGUUGAGCGCUGAAGGUUGGUACUUGUACCAACUGGAUGAGCAGCGAACGGGUGAGUAACGCGUGGGGAAUCUGCCUUUGAGCGGGGGACAACAUUUGGAAACGAAUGCUAAUACCGCAUAAAAACUUUAAACACAAGUUUUAAGUUUGAAAGAUGCAAUUGCAUCACUCAAAGAUGAUCCCGCGUUGUAUUAGCUAGUUGGUGAGGUAAAGGCUCACCAAGGCGAUGAUACAUAGCCGACCUGAGAGGGUGAUAGGCCACAUUGGGACUGAGACACGGCCCAAACUCCUACGGGAGGAAGCAGUAGGGAAUCUUCGGCAAUGGACGAAAGUCUGACCGAGCAACGCCGCGUGAGUGAAGAAGGUUGUCGGAUCGUAAAACUCUGUUGGUAGAGAAGAACGUUGGUGAGAGUGGAAAGCCCAUCAAGUGACGGUAACUACCCAGAAAGGGACGGCUAACUACGUG
Molecule: ribosomal RNA, 497 nt
Filed under: uncultured bacterium
Lineage: Bacteria
Description: partial 16S ribosomal RNA
Rfam family: Bacterial small subunit ribosomal RNA
Source: RNAcentral